RNAcentral lists this ribosomal RNA (328 nucleotides) under Clostridioides difficile. Its description in RNAcentral is "partial 23S ribosomal RNA". It matches the Rfam family "Bacterial large subunit ribosomal RNA", at positions 1 to 331 of the family's 2925-position model. Lineage: Bacteria; Bacillati; Bacillota; Clostridia; Peptostreptococcales; Peptostreptococcaceae. The record is from RNAcentral.
GGUCAAGUUAUUAAGGGUGCAGGGCGGAUGCCUUGGCACUAGGAGCCGAUGAAGGACGUGAUAAGCUGCGAUAAGCUUCGGGGAGUUGCACGUAAACUUUGAUCCGAAGAUUUCCGAAUGAGGAAACUCACUUAGAGUAAUGUCUAAGUAUCAUUAAGUGAAUACAUAGCUUAAUGAGGGGAACUCAGGGAACUGAAACAUCUAAGUACCUGAAGGAAGAGAAAGAAAUUCGAUUCCGUAAGUAGCGGCGAGCGAACGCGGAUUAGCCCAAACCAAUAAAGUUUUCUUUAUUGGGGUUGCGGACAUAUCAUAACGAAGAGGUAUCGUA